GACAGAGGUGCCGAGCGUUAGGCGGAAUCACUGGGCUUAAAGCGUGUGUAGGCGGGCGGGCAAGUACCUUGUGAAAUCCCACGGCUCAACCGUGGAACGGCUGGGUAUACUGCCUGUCUUGAGCCAACUAGGGGCGAGCGGAACAGACGGUGGAGCAGUGAAAUGCGUAGAUAUCGUCUGGAACGCCGAAGGUGAAAACAGCUCGCUGGGGUUGUGCUGACGCUGAGACACGAAAGCCAGGGGAGCGAACGGG
RNAcentral lists this ribosomal RNA (253 nucleotides) under uncultured bacterium. RNAcentral's name for it is "partial 16S ribosomal RNA". It matches the Rfam family "Bacterial small subunit ribosomal RNA", at positions 524 to 776 of the family's 1533-position model. The record is from RNAcentral.